This 1386-nucleotide long non-coding RNA is filed under the name Solanum lycopersicum (tomato). RNAcentral describes it as "partial TCONS_00185797". The record is from RNAcentral. Lineage: Eukaryota; Viridiplantae; Streptophyta; Magnoliopsida; Solanales; Solanaceae.
CAUCCCAGCCGUCUGUCGCCCUUUCCUCUUCCCGAAAGGGUCCAAAUUUCAGAAAAAAGGGUGUUUCCCUUUAACAGUGAACUUUUUCGAAUUUGAAUCGAGGAUGAGCCCUUGAAUUCGGGGAAUCCAUCCUCCCCCCUCCCCCUCAAAUAUUCUAGACCAUAAUUUCCCCUAUGUAUAACAUCUUUUUUUCACUGUGAGGGAGGGAGGAAAUUUUUGAAAAACAAAAGGGAGUUACUAGAUAUUGUCGAGUUUGGAGAUUUUAGUGGAGAAAAUUGUUAAAGGUUUUAGUUUGAAGUUGGAUUCUUAGGAAAAGAAAAUACUUAUAAAGUUUCAGUGAGAUAGCCUAAGAUAAGUAAAACAGGUUUUCAAAGAAAACGGAGGAAGAACUCUUUAAUUUAGGUGUUGAGUUCGAUAUUUUGCUUAAGUUCUCAACUGCUGCUCGUGUUUAGGUUCUUGUGGUGGUCGUCCCCUGUCCGUUUGUCUCAAAACGCUUUGCGAAAAAAGAGAGCCUUCAAAGCUCAAUUCCUUUCGAGUCAAACUCAUAAAAUUAACGUACAGGUCCCAAGUUGAAAGGAUUCAAACAGAUUAAGAAGUUGAAGAAAUUGGACAAAAGAGUCCAACUUUAUUUUUUUUCAGAGCGUUGUAUUUUGUUAUCGUUGGGCCUAAGCCCUUGUUGUCUUUUCUUUUCCGUAUUCAUUAUUUACAGAUUGUCUAAUUAGUCUAGGAUAGGUACAAAAUGAAAUGGGUCGAAAUACCGGUCUAGAUAGACAGAAAGUGGAUUUGGACCCAACUCUCUCUCUCUCUCUCUUUUACUUUAUCACUUACUUAUCUGUAGUUAAUUUCUGUUAGUCUUAGGAUUAAAAAAAUCAAAUCCUCCGCAAGACGUUAUUUCGUUUUAAUAAUUCAAUGAAAUCAAUCAUGUCUAUAUAUUUUAAAACAAUAGGAAUUUUGUAAGUUAAAAAGUCUCACUUAGAUAAUAGUUUAAUAUCUCUCUUUUUACAAAUUCUAAAUAAUUUUUCAAUUCUAACUAAGUUAAAUCUUUUAGCCAAACAUUUUAGUUUUUGGAUAAUCGGAGUAACGCGAGUAUUUUAGGUCUCAUAAAAAUCUUCCUAAAAUAUUAAUAAGAGCCCUUGAAUCCUGUUUAACGUUUUUGAUCAAUUUCGUGUUUUGAUCUUUUGAAAACAAAGGUUUCUUGAUUUUUCUAAAAUUAAGUGGCGACUCUCAAAAUCAAAUCUAAAAUCACUAAAAAUAUUUUUCUUUUAAAUAAAACAGAAUUCUAGCUUCUUUUCUUUCUCAAAAUGUGAAAACAUUUAUAAUUUUAGGGACUACUUAGUUCCCUUGUAGCUUUUGAGAAAUAAACUCACACUUUGCUCUUUACUUUAC